CCUACGGGAGGCUGCAGUGGGGAAUAUUGCACAAUGGGGGAAACCCUGAUGCAGCGACGUCGCGUGAGUGAAGAAGUAUUUCGGUAUGUAAAGCUCUAUCAGCAGGGAAGAAAAUGACGGUACCUGAUCAAGAAGCCCCGGCUAACUACGUGCCAGCAGCCGCGGUAAUACGUAGGGGGCAAGCGUUAUCCGGAUUUACUGGGUGUAAAGGGAGCGUAGACGGCAGCACAAGUCUGGAGUGAAAUGCCGGGGCUUAACCCCGGAACUGCUUUGGAAACUGUGCAGCUAGAGUGCAGGAGAGGUAGGUGGAAUUCCUGGUGUAGCGGUGAAAUGCGUAGAUAUUAGGAGGAACUCCAGUGGCGAAGGCGGCUUGCUGGACUGUAACUGACGUUGAGGCUCGAAAGCGUGGGGAGCAAACAGGAUUAGAUACCCCGGUAGUC
Molecule: ribosomal RNA, 440 nt
Filed under: uncultured bacterium
Lineage: Bacteria
Description: partial 16S ribosomal RNA
Rfam family: Bacterial small subunit ribosomal RNA
Source: RNAcentral